AUUGAACGCUGGCGGCAUGCUUUACACAUGCCAGUCGAACGGUAACAGGCCGCAAGGUGCUGACGAGUGGCGAACGGGUGAGUAAUGCAUCGGAACGUGCCCAGUCGUGGGGGAUAACUACUCGAAAGAGUAGCUAAUACCGCAUACGAUCUAUGGAUGAAAGCGGGGGACCGUAAGGCCUCGCGCGAUUGGAGCGGCCGAUGUCAGAUUAGGUAGUUGGUGGGGUAAAGGCACACCAAGCCAACGAUCUGUAGCUGGUCUGAGAGGACGACCAGCCACACUGGGACUGAGACACGGCCCAGACUCCUACGGGAGGCAGCAGUGGGGAAUUUUGGACAAUGGGCGCAAGCCUGAUCCAGCAAUGCCGCGUGCAGGAAGAAGGCCUUCGGGUUGUAAACUGCUUUUGUACGGAACGAAACGGCUCUGGUUAAUACCCGGGGCUAAUGACGGUACCGUAAGAAUAAGCACCGGCUAACUACGUG
This 482-nucleotide ribosomal RNA is filed under the name uncultured bacterium. RNAcentral's name for it is "partial 16S ribosomal RNA". It matches the Rfam family "Bacterial small subunit ribosomal RNA", at positions 30 to 507 of the family's 1533-position model. The record is from RNAcentral.